GCUUACGACCACACCGGCCUGAGUACGCCUGAUCUCGUCUGAUCUCGGAAGCUAAGCAGGGUCGGGCCUGGUUAGUACUUGGAUGGGAGACUUCCUGGAAAUACCAGGUGAUGUAAGCU
Molecule: ribosomal RNA, 119 nt
Organism: Oncorhynchus tshawytscha (Chinook salmon)
Lineage: Eukaryota; Metazoa; Chordata; Actinopteri; Salmoniformes; Salmonidae
Source: Ensembl